RNAcentral lists this ribosomal RNA (351 nucleotides) under Glischrochilus quadrisignatus (four-spotted sap beetle). RNAcentral describes it as "partial 12S ribosomal RNA". The record is from RNAcentral. Lineage: Eukaryota; Metazoa; Arthropoda; Insecta; Coleoptera; Nitidulidae.
UUUUAAAUGUAAAUAUCAAAUUUUAAAUUAUUAUUAGUUAUGUUCUUUAAAAUUAAAAAAUUUGGCGGUAUUUUAGUCUUUUCAGAGGAACCUGUUUCAUAAAUGAUAAUCCACGAUUAAUUAAACUUAUUUUUUAAAUUUACAUAUCGUCGUAGUUUGAAUAUUUUUUUAGAAUUUUAAUAUUCAAUAGAUUUAAUUUAAUUAGAAAUCAGAUCAAGGUGUAGUUUAUAUUUAAGUGAUAAUGGGUUACAAUAAAUUUAUUUUUGGAUUUAAAAUUGAAAAAUUUUAAUAAAAUUGGAUUUGAAAGUAAUUUGGAUAAUUUAAUUUAAAUGAUUUAAGCUCUAAAAUAUG